GAUGAACGCUGGCGGCGUGCCUAAUACAUGCAAGUCGAACGGACAGACGCGGAGCUUGCGCGUCUCACGUUAGCGGCGGACGGGAGAGUAACGCGUGGAUCCCGUACCUGUAAGACUGGGAAAACUUCGGAAAACCGGCGCUAAUACCAUAUAAUAUCUUGAACCACAUGGUUCGAUAGAGAAAGACGGUGUUGCUGGCACUUAUAGCUGGAUCCGCGCCGCAUUAGCUGGUUGGGAAGGUACCGGCUUACGAAGGCAACGAUGCGUAGACGAACUAAGAGGGUGAUCGGCCACACUGGAAGGUGGACACGGUCCAUACUCCUACGGGAGGGCGCAGUAGGGAAUCUUCCGCAACGGGCGAAAGCCUGACGGAGCAGCGCGGCGUGAGAGAUGAAGGUCUUGGGAGCGUAAAACUCGGUUAUGAGGUAAGAACAAAUGUGUAAUUAACUAUGCACGUAUUGACGGUACCUAGUCAGAAAGCCACGGCUAACUACGUG
This 497-nucleotide ribosomal RNA is filed under the name uncultured bacterium. RNAcentral's name for it is "partial 16S ribosomal RNA". It matches the Rfam family "Bacterial small subunit ribosomal RNA", at positions 28 to 507 of the family's 1533-position model. The record is from RNAcentral.